CAGCGGCGGCAGGAGCAGAAGCGGGCGCGCGUUGAGAGCCGCUGAGGGCAGCGGGCGGCUUCGGCCCGUCUUCUCGCGAGACCGCGCGAGGUUUCCGGUGUUGUGACUGCGGGGCCGUAAACAUGGCGGCCAGCCUCCGCGCCCGCUCGCUGAGGCAUCUCCGGAUCCGAGGCCGUAACGACAGCGGCGAGGAGAACGUCCCCCUGGAUCUCACCCGAGACCCUUCUGAUAAUCUGAGAGAAAUUCUCCAAAAUGCACAAACUGC
Sphaerodactylus townsendi is the source of this 265-nucleotide long non-coding RNA. RefSeq lists it as uncharacterized. NCBI's taxonomy places the organism in Eukaryota, Metazoa, Chordata, Lepidosauria, Squamata, Sphaerodactylidae. The transcript is spliced from 3 exons. The record is from RefSeq and is a predicted model, not a curated record.